AAAUAAAAUCAAGUGUAUAACAAUUAUCACAUCUUUUCUAUGUUGUAGAGUCCCAAGACAGAGUGAGGCAAAAGACAGUCCCCCUGCUGGCUUACACAAGUGUUGGUACAUAAUAUGUUACCUAAGGCUGAUGCAUAAGGCAUUCAUCCCAUCAGUCAUGUCCAGUACAAGCACGUCCUUCACAGUGGCCUCAACACCCCAGCACAGGAAGCCCCCCCGCUACUUGACACGGCUGCCUUACAAAGAAACUUGGUGACCACCAAAACUGUCAAACUGGGAACCUGUUUUCCCCAUACUUAUGCAUGUUGAGGAGGGAGUCAGGUUUUUCGACCCUCCUUGACCCAAGAAAAAUUCAUAAAAAAAGAAAAACCGUCAAUAAAAUCAAGACAAUAAUUUUUUCCCUUUACACCUUGCUGGGAGUAACAGUGGUAGGGUUUGGAGUGGUGGUGCUGGGCUGCAGGCUGGAGCAAGCUGACCACUAGGCACUGGCCCUUAGGUUCCUACACUUGAAGGGGCCCUCCUAUAUAAAUAGAUUAAUAAUAAUAAAAAAAAUCAAUAGGUGAGUCCAGCAGAGAAUCACAGUGAAUUUAAACACCUUCACACUGUGUCUUACAUAACAUAUAUUUCAGUGUACCUAUAGUCCUGUAUGUCAUCCAGUUUGUUGAUUUGUUGAAGUGAAAUGCUCCUACGUCUGGAGACCAAGCAAUGCUCAACAAAGAAUGGAAGUACAGGUUACAACAUAAAGUUUGAGCAUCAGUUGUACGGUGCACUGCAGGACACAGAGACUCAAAACACAGGCUGGUGGGAAGGCUUUCACAGAACAUAAUGUGGACACUAAAACCCCGACACUGUUUGAUAACUGUAGCUGCAAGUCUCUGCCUCAGUCUUGGGUACUGCUGGGCCACCAAAAAAGUAAUUACCAAACAUUGUAAACACCAAGAUGAAAUGUUUAUAUUACAGUGAGUCUUUCCUACUCCUAGCUACUGGGGCACCAACUGCUAGUUACUGCAAAAUGUUCACUACUUUUAUUGUUUGACAUAUUAACAUUAUUUUUAAAAGUGUCUGCACACACACACACACACACACACACACACACACACACACACUUGGGAAUGUUGGUCCAGAAUAAUUUUCCCCCUGAAGAACACAUUGGAUAGACUUAAAAGCUGUUGACAAGCAAAAGAGUGUCAAGUCACUGAUGGAUGAAGAGAGGAAGAAGCAGAGUGCCCCUCACAUACAAAGAAACACAAAGGAGACCAAAACAAUACAAAGGGUAGCAAGUGAACUAGACUGGAAGGGUUGGGGCAGCAAUCCUUGAAAGAGAGAGGAGAGAGAGGGGACAUGACAGCAGGGUUCAGGGCAAUAGGGGAGUAAGCAGAACUGAUAGAGGACAUGUUUGUAAGGGACGUCAGAGCAAGCAGGGGACAUAAAGGUGAAUGUAUGAAAGAGGUCAGGAAACAGCUUUGCCAAUGGAUGCACAGAUCUAUGGAACAGCCUGGGGGACAAGGAGGUCAUCCAAUCCCGAGACUUAGAUGAGAUUAAAGCUAAAGUUUGACUGACUGAGACUCAGAAGUGGGACCCAUGACACACACACACACACACACACACACUC
Long non-coding RNA from Eriocheir sinensis (Chinese mitten crab), 1612 nucleotides. RefSeq lists it as uncharacterized. The transcript has 2 exons. The record is from RefSeq and is a predicted model, not a curated record. NCBI's taxonomy places the organism in Eukaryota, Metazoa, Arthropoda, Malacostraca, Decapoda, Varunidae.